UACGAAGGGGGCUAGCGUUGUUCGGAUUUACUGGGCGUAAAGCGCACGUAGGCGGUUUGUUAAGUCAGGGGUGAAAUCCCGGAGCUCAACUCCGGAACUGCCUUUGAUACUGGCAAGCUAGAGUCCGGAAGAGGUAAGUGGAACUCCUAGUGUAGAGGUGGAAUUCGUAGAUAUUAGGAAGAACACCAGUGGCGAAGGCGGCUUACUGGUCCGGAACUGACGCUGAGGUGCGAAAAGCGUGGGGAGCAAACAGG
RNAcentral lists this ribosomal RNA (254 nucleotides) under uncultured bacterium. RNAcentral's name for it is "partial 16S ribosomal RNA". It matches the Rfam family "Bacterial small subunit ribosomal RNA", at positions 524 to 776 of the family's 1533-position model. The record is from RNAcentral.